CCUACGGGCGGCAGCAGUGAGGAAUAUUGGUCAAUGGACGAGAGUCUGAACCAGCCAAGUAGCGUGAAGGAUGACUGCCCUAUGGGUUGUAAACUUCUUUUAUAUGGGAAUAAAAUGUUCCACGUGUGGGAUUUUGUAUGUACCAUAUGAAUAAGGAUCGGCUAACUCCGUGCCAGCAGCCGCUGUAAUACGGAGGAUCCGAGCGUUAUCCGGAUUUAUUGGGUUUAAAGGGAGCGUAGGUGGAUUGUUAAGUCAGUUGUGAAAGUUUGCGGCUCAACCGUAAAAUUGCAGUUGAAACUGGCAGUCUUGAGUACAGUAGAGGUGGGCGGAAUUCGUGGUGUAGCGGUGAAAUGCUUAGAUAUCACGAAGAACUCCGAUUGCGAAGGCAGUUCACUGGACUGCAACUGACACUGAGGCUCGAAAGUGUGGGUAUCAAACAGGAUUAGAUACCCUAGUAGUC
RNAcentral lists this ribosomal RNA (460 nucleotides) under uncultured bacterium. RNAcentral describes it as "partial 16S ribosomal RNA". It matches the Rfam family "Bacterial small subunit ribosomal RNA", at positions 338 to 795 of the family's 1533-position model. The record is from RNAcentral.